RNAcentral lists this non-coding RNA (1272 nucleotides) under Drosophila sechellia. RNAcentral's name for it is "Eukaryotic large subunit ribosomal RNA". It matches the Rfam family "Eukaryotic large subunit ribosomal RNA", at positions 974 to 2091 of the family's 3401-position model. Lineage: Eukaryota; Metazoa; Arthropoda; Insecta; Diptera; Drosophilidae. The record is from Rfam by way of RNAcentral.
CAGGAUAGCUGGUGCAUUUUAAUAUUAUAUAAAAUAAUCUUAUCUGGUAAAGCGAAUGAUUAGAGGCCUUAGGGUCGAAACGAUCUUAACCUAUUCUCAAACUUUAAAUGGGUAAGAACCUUAACUUUCUUGAUAUGAAGUUCAAGGUUAUGAUAUAAUGUGCCCAGUGGGCCACUUUUGGUAAGCAGAACUGGCGCUGUGGGAUGAACCAAACGUAAUGUUACGGUGCCCAAAUUAACAACUCAUGCAGAUACCAUGAAAGGCGUUGGUUGCUUAAAACAGCAGGACGGUGAUCAUGGAAGUCGAAAUCCGCUAAGGAGUGUGUAACAACUCACCUGCCGAAGCAACUAGCCCUUAAAAUGGAUGGCGCUUAAGUUGUAUACCUAUACAUUACCGCUAAAGUAGAUGAUUUAUAUUACUUGUGAUAUAAAUUUUGAAACUUUAGUGAGUAGGAAGGUACAAUGGUAUGCGUAGAAGUGUUUGGCGUAAGCCUGCAUGGAGCUGCCAUUGGUACAGAUCUUGGUGGUAGUAGCAAAUAAUCGAAUGAGACCUUGGAGGACUGAAGUGGAGAAGGGUUUCGUGUGAACAGUGGUUGAUCACGAGUUAGUCGGUCCUAAGUUCAAGGCGAAAGCCGAAAAUUUUCAAGUAAAACAAAAAUGCCUAACUAUAUAAACAAAGCGAAUAUAAUACACUUGAAUAAUUUUGAACGAAAGGGAAUACGGUUCCAAUUCCGUAACCUGUUGAGUAUCCGUUUGUUAUUAAAUAUGGGCCUCGUGCUCAUCCUGGCAACAGGAACGACCAUAAAGAAGCCGUCGAGAGAUAUCGGAAGAGUUUUCUUUUCUGUUUUAUAGCCGUACUACCAUGGAAGUCUUUCGCAGAGAGAUAUGGUAGAUGGGCUAGAAGAGCAUGACAUAUACUGUUGUGUCGAUAUUUUCUCUCUCGGACCUUGAGAGUUAUGGUGGGGACACGCAAACUUCUCAACAGGCCGUACCAAUAUCCGCAGCUGGUCUCCAGGGUGAAGAGUCUCUAGUCGAUAGAGUAAUGUAGGUAAGGGAAGUCGGCAGAUUAGAUCUCGUAGCUUCGGGAUAAGGAUUGGCUCUGAAGAUUGAGAUAGUCGGGCUUGAUUGGGAGACAAUAGCAUGGUUUAUGUGCUCGUUCUGGGUAGAUAGAGUUUCUAGCAUUUAUGUUAGUUACUUGUUUCUCGGAUAGUUUAGUUACGUAGUCGAUUGUGGAGUUUUCUUGCUAAGAUUUUUAGGAGUACUAUUUGGGUUA